RNAcentral lists this ribosomal RNA (387 nucleotides) under uncultured bacterium. RNAcentral's name for it is "bacterial SSU rRNA". It matches the Rfam family "Bacterial small subunit ribosomal RNA", at positions 28 to 416 of the family's 1533-position model. The record is from RNAcentral.
GACGAACGCUGGCGGCGUGCUUAACACAUGCAAGUCGAGCGGUAAGGCCCUUUCGGGGUACGACGAGCGGCGAACGGGUGAGUAACACGUGGGUGACCUGCCCUUACGCUCUGGGAUAAGCCUGGGAAACGUGGGUCUAAUACCGGAUAUGACUCCAUGACGCAUGUUGUGGGGUGGAAAGCCUUGUGCGGCUAGGGAUGGGCCUGCGGCCUAUCAGCUUGUUGGUGGGGUGAGGCCUACCAAGGCGACGACGGGUAGCCGGCCUGAGGGGGCGACCGGCCACACUGGGACUGAGACACGGCCCAGACUCCUACGGGAGGCAGCAGUGGGGAAUCUUGCGCAAUGGGCGAAAGCCUGACGCAGCGACGCCGCGUGGGGAUGACGGCC